This 293-nucleotide ribosomal RNA is filed under the name uncultured bacterium. Its description in RNAcentral is "partial 16S ribosomal RNA". It matches the Rfam family "Bacterial small subunit ribosomal RNA", at positions 28 to 317 of the family's 1533-position model. The record is from RNAcentral.
GAUGAACGCUAGCGGCAGGCCUAAUACAUGCAAGCCGAACGGCAAGAACUUUAGCAAUAGAGUUCCUAGAGUGGCGUAAGGGUGCGUAACACGUAUGCAAUCUGCCCUCAACAGGAGGAUAGCUCCCCGAAAGGGGAAUUAAGACUCCAUAAGAUCAUUUUAUGGCAUCAUGAGAUGAUUAAACUACCAGGGGUUGAGGAUGAGCAUGCGCAUGAUUAGUUAGUUGGCGGGGUAACGGCCCACCAAGACGAUGAUCAUUAGGGGAACUGAGAGGUUUGAUCCCCCACACUGGC